UACGGAGGGGGCCAGCGUUGUUCGGAAUCAUUGGGCGUAAAGGGCGCGUAGGCGGCCGACCAAGUCGGAGGUGAAAUCCCUCGGCUCAACUGAGGAACUGCCUCCGAUACUGUUCGGCUUGAGUCCCGGAGAGGGUAGUGGAAUUCCGAGUGUAGCGGUGAAAUGGGCAGAUAUCCGGAGGAACACCGGUGGCGAAGGCGGCUUCCUGGACCGACACUGACGCUGAGGCGCGAAAGCUAGGGGAGCAAACGGG
Molecule: ribosomal RNA, 253 nt
Filed under: uncultured bacterium
Lineage: Bacteria
Description: partial 16S ribosomal RNA
Rfam family: Bacterial small subunit ribosomal RNA
Source: RNAcentral